Molecule: long non-coding RNA, 198 nt
Organism: Suncus etruscus (white-toothed pygmy shrew)
Lineage: Eukaryota; Metazoa; Chordata; Mammalia; Eulipotyphla; Soricidae
Exons: 2
Source: RefSeq, a predicted model, not a curated record
CCUGACUGGUGCUUAUUGAAUAAAGAACAAAAGAUCAGCCUCAGAAAGAAAAUAAAAAUGUGGUAAUUGGGUAAGCAUUAAUAAAGAGAAAGAAACAAAUAGGGAUAUUAUGAAAGCCCUGACUGAACCUAUUAAAGACCCCAAAGUAUUGAAUGGAAAUCAUUUUAUUGGAAUUAUGUAAAAUCUGUGCUUACUCUU